Molecule: ribosomal RNA, 454 nt
Filed under: Cephaleta brunniventris
Lineage: Eukaryota; Metazoa; Arthropoda; Insecta; Hymenoptera; Eunotidae
Description: eukaryotic LSU rRNA
Source: RNAcentral
CCUGAGAAACCCAAAAGAUCGAAUGGGGAGAUUCAUCGUCAACGAUGUUGGCUUCCGUGUGGUUCGCGAUGGCCGGGUUUCGGCCCAGUGUCACGCGACCGCUGCGGCAUGUCCGGCGUCGUCGUCGUGCACUUCUCCCCUAGUAGGACGUCGCGACCCGUUGGGUGCCGGUCAAAGGCCCGGUCGGUCGACUGUCGCGUCGCGUUCACGCGCGCUCGCGGCAGACCACCGGUCGCUCGGCCGGCUGCUCGGCGGUAUUAAUCGCUUAUAAUAAACGGUAUUGGGCCGCAGAAAGUGCGUUCUGGCUCGUCGGCAGGCUCGUCUCGCUCGGAUUUACGGACCUCGUUGCCGUUGCCGGGUGCUUGGCGUGGCCGUUAGUCGACGAUGUCCUCGGACUGGCUCUCAUAUUCGAACGGAUAUACCGGUCGGCGACGCUACUGCUUUGGGUACUUUC